This 524-nucleotide ribosomal RNA is filed under the name uncultured microeukaryote. RNAcentral describes it as "bacterial SSU rRNA". It matches the Rfam family "Eukaryotic small subunit ribosomal RNA", at positions 21 to 549 of the family's 1831-position model. The record is from RNAcentral.
UAGUCAUAUGCUUGUCUAAAAGACUAAGCCAUGCAUGUCUAAGUAUAAGCAAAAGUAUACUUGUGAAACUGCGAAUUGCUCGGUAAAUCAGUUGUAAUACACUGGGUAGUAACUUCCUACAUGGAUAACCGUGGGAAACUAGGGCUAAUACAUGCACAACCUCCGACUUUAGGGAAGGGGGGUGUUAAUUAGAUCUGAAACCAGCCCGCCUCGGCGGCUAUGGUGAGUCACAAUUACCUUACGAAUCGCAUUGCCUCGCGCAGGCGAUAUACCCACCGAACUUCUGCCCCAUCAACUUUGACGGUAUGAUAGUGGCAUACCGUGGUAGUGACGGGUAACGGAGAAUUAGGGUUCGAUUCCGGAGAGGGAGCCUGAGAAACGGCUACCACAUCCAAGGAAGGCAGCAGGCGCGCAAAUUACCCAAUCUUGACACAAGGAGGUAGUGACAAGAAAUACGAAAGCUGGGCACGAAGUGCUUAGCUAUUCGAAUGAGAACGCUGUAAAAGCUCUAACGAGGAUCAAUU